Molecule: ribosomal RNA, 497 nt
Filed under: uncultured bacterium
Lineage: Bacteria
Description: partial 16S ribosomal RNA
Rfam family: Bacterial small subunit ribosomal RNA
Source: RNAcentral
GAUGAACGCUGGCGGCGUGCCUAAUACAUGCAAGUCGAGCGAACGGACGAGAAGCUUGCUUCUCUGAUGUUAGCGGCGGACGGGAGAGUAACACGUGGAUAACCUACCUAUAAGACUGGGAUAACUUCGGGAAACCGGAUCUAAUACCGGAUGAUAUUUUGAACCGCAUGGUUCAAAAGUGAAAGACGGUCUUGCUGUAACUUAUAGAUGGAUCCGCGCUGCAUUAGCUAGUUGGUAAGGUAACGGCUUACCAAGGCAAGGAUGCAUAGCCGACCGGACAGGGUGAUCGGCCACACUGGAACUGAGACACGGUCCAUGCUCCUACGGGAGGCAGCAGUAGGGAAUCUUCCGCAAUGGUCGAAAGCCUGACGGAGCGACGCCGCGUGAGUGAUGAAGGUCUUCGGAUCGUAAAACUCUGUUAUUAGGGAAGAACAUAUGUGUAAGUAACUGUGCACAUCUUGACGGUACCUAAUCAGAAAGCCACGGCUAACUACGUG